GUGUUCCCAAAGGUCCCUGCAUCUGUUUCGUAAUUUUUUUUUUAUACUGGUGAUUCUUAGAAUUUUAGAGCAGAACACAAAGUUGAUAUAUCCAAAGCUUUUAUUUUAUAAAUGAAGGGACUGAGAUAAACAAAACUUUGGAGACCAUUUACUUAAUCAGCAACAGAGCAAAAGCUGUUCAGAUUCUCUGGUUGUUGGCCCAGCCUCUUCUUGGCAUUCCUCCAAUAGAAGUCACUGUUUUUAACCAAAAAUCACAUCAAGAGGAAGUAGGAGAGAAAGGUCCACACUAGGAGGUAGAAAUGGAGUUCAGUUUUCUUUCACCAGUUUUCUCUGUGAUCUUGGACAAAAAGACAUGGAUUCAAGUUCCAAACCUCUGAAGUAAUAUAAUAAACUUCCCUGUUAUGUUGAAGAAGUUUGGAGAUGAAUAGAACCGUGUUUGUUAAAAUCCUUCCACAUUUAUAAAUGCCUAUACCAACAUAAGAAACUCUUAUCUUCAGAAACACUCUUUUCGAUUUCCGAAUGUAUGAUAAAUUAGCAACACACUCAAACUCCUCACCUUCUUGUUUAACGCAUAGUGAUUACUUGUUACCCUUUGCAGACCUCUCCCAAUGUACUUCCAGGAUAUUUUAGAGCUGGAAACUAGAAAUGUGGUUGAUCAAUGCCAUCUCGAUGUUUAUUUCACAUUCGGACCUGGGCUUGAGUUAGGAGGAGGAGCUGAAGGGUCAGAACUAUUUGCCCUGCACUGUGCCUGCUUCAGCGUUUCCACAGGGCAUGACCAGAUAAGUUGGGAUUAAACAAGUAGAUUUUUUUUUCUUAAAGGAGAAAAGAGUCUUCCAUUUACUUUCACUGGGUUUAAAUGAAGAGUAGUAAGUCUUCCUAUGUAGAACAAGCCUAAUGUUCUUAUCAGUAAAUCUUCAAAGGAAUCUUCAGUAAAUCUUAUCAUGGGAUCUUUUAAGAUAGAAGGAACUCAAGUCAUCCCAACCAGUCUUUAACUUAAUGCAGAGAUACCCUCCUACAGCUUCCCUGGGAAUUCGUUCUACUCCCACAUAUGCUUAAAUCUGCACCAACAACUGGGAGCUCACUACCUAUGAA
This 1092-nucleotide long non-coding RNA is filed under the name Marmota monax (woodchuck). The record is from RNAcentral. Lineage: Eukaryota; Metazoa; Chordata; Mammalia; Rodentia; Sciuridae.